Herpailurus yagouaroundi (jaguarundi) is the source of this 211-nucleotide long non-coding RNA. RefSeq lists it as uncharacterized. The record is from RefSeq and is a predicted model, not a curated record. The transcript has 2 exons. NCBI's taxonomy places the organism in Eukaryota, Metazoa, Chordata, Mammalia, Carnivora, Felidae.
UGGUGUUUUCUUUCCUAACAUUCAGGAGCCUGUAGGAGCACAGGAAGAAGGUAUGUCUCCUGGAAACUGUUUCUUGCUGAGGAAAAUGUUUAGAUGAUGGUGACGUAGGUGGGGCAUUCUUGUUGUCUUCAGUCUGGAGAGCUACUCCAAUUCCAGAGUCUUGGGAGGACUGGUGCUUGUGGGUGGGGGGGAAAGACCGAUGUCCCAGGUG